GCGUUAGUAGUUCAAUGGUAGGGUUCUCACCUUGAAUGUGAGAAACCCUGGUUCCACUCCCCGGCCAAGGCA
This 72-nucleotide transfer RNA is filed under the name Loxodonta africana (African savanna elephant). It matches the Rfam family "tRNA". Rfam says of the family: Transfer RNA (tRNA) molecules are approximately 80 nucleotides in length. Their secondary structure includes four short double-helical elements and three loops (D, anti-codon, and T loops). Further hydrogen bonds mediate the characteristic L-shaped molecular structure. tRNAs have two regions of fundamental functional importance: the anti-codon, which is responsible for specific mRNA codon recognition, and the 3' end, to which the tRNAs corresponding amino acid is attached (by aminoacyl-tRNA synthetases). tRNAs cope with the degeneracy of the genetic code in two manners: having more than one tRNA (with a specific anti-codon) for a particular amino acid; and 'wobble' base-pairing, i.e. permitting non-standard base-pairing at the 3rd anti-codon position. The record is from Rfam by way of RNAcentral. Lineage: Eukaryota; Metazoa; Chordata; Mammalia; Proboscidea; Elephantidae.